UCCCUGCUUCCCCAAUUUGCACGGAGAGAGAGAGAUAGAGAGAGAGAUCGGAGGCAAAUUCUCACGUCAUCAUCUGAGAUCGGAGUGAGUGAGAGAGAAAGAUCAAUCUCUUUCGAAUCAGAUCAGAUUGGGCUUUGUGGAAAACAGAAGAAGGCUUGCUGUUGUUUAGUUUAUUCUUCUGAGGUUUAAAACAGAACACCAGCUAAAGUGUUGAAGCUCCAGAGUUUAAACUCAAGGGUGAGGCAUAACUAAAGGUCGCCACAUGAAUCCAAUUGAAUCCGGUAUUUUGAUCCAUUUCAAUUCUAUCACUUAUCAAGAACAAUCCACAGAGGGAUAGACUGUCUGCUUUCCUUCGCACAAAGACAUCAAACUGUAUUUCUGCACUCUUCGAUCUUCAGCCAAACUGUUGGCUUCAAAGUUGGCUAAGAAGGGAAAUCCAAGCUCUUAGCAGCAAAGGCGGAAAACUUAUUCAGCUGAUUUCACUCUGAAACUCAAUUCUAAGUCACCUAUGAUGACCUGGAAAUCGAAGUAAGAGCCUGGCACAAGCAGAAAUUCCGGAAGAAAUUCAAAAAGUUUGCAAGGAAGUUCAAGCAAAGUUCAAUUGCCAGUCCUGUUUACCUGCUCUGAAAAUUGUAUUCUGUAUACGGGCAUCUGCUCUUUCAAUUUCAGUUUCAUAUCAACUAUAUUCACUUUCAAUUUCAAUUAGCACUCCUAUUCAUUACACAUAACAACUUCUCAUGUAUACAAUUACU
This 752-nucleotide long non-coding RNA is filed under the name Rosa chinensis. RNAcentral's name for it is "sRNA RchiOBHm_Chr6g0264561". The record is from RNAcentral. Lineage: Eukaryota; Viridiplantae; Streptophyta; Magnoliopsida; Rosales; Rosaceae.